CGUUUUACAACUUUUUCAAUUAAUUGUGUUUUACCUGCACCUACAGGACCACCAAUACCAAUUUUAAUC
RNAcentral lists this small RNA (69 nucleotides) under Staphylococcus aureus. Its description in RNAcentral is "HMPRNC0000_2543". The record is from RNAcentral. Lineage: Bacteria; Bacillati; Bacillota; Bacilli; Caryophanales; Staphylococcaceae.